Molecule: long non-coding RNA, 331 nt
Filed under: Elaeis guineensis (African oil palm)
Lineage: Eukaryota; Viridiplantae; Streptophyta; Magnoliopsida; Arecales; Arecaceae
Description: long non-coding RNA (EGUI_LNC031264)
Source: RNAcentral
UUUCUUUAUUGUCGAGCUAUCAUUUGACAAAAAAUUGAUUGGAAAAGACCCCAAUUCACCGUCUUUUGUUUUCCUCUUUUCUUCUUUUUUUCGGCCAAUUUGCCACCAGUAUUUGUCAUGAAGGGCUUAGUCUCUCCUCUCCAUUGGUGCCUAACUAGAUUCUGGAGCUCCAGUUGCUGGUGAGUGGGCUAAGACUCAAGAACAAUAGAGCCAAAGGAGUUCGGUCCUAUUUUUUGUUGAUUUCCACUGGUCAAUCACCGCCAUUGACCUUGUCCAUUGCCCGCCAUUGCCGCUUGCUACCACCUCAUCGAACCACCAUGAUCUACCCCAU